This 468-nucleotide ribosomal RNA is filed under the name uncultured bacterium. RNAcentral describes it as "partial 16S ribosomal RNA". It matches the Rfam family "Bacterial small subunit ribosomal RNA", at positions 28 to 507 of the family's 1533-position model. The record is from RNAcentral.
GACGAACGCUGGCGGCGUGCUUAACACAUGCAAGUCGAACGGAAAGGCCCUGCUUUUGUGGGGUGCUCGAGUGGCGAACGGGUGAGUAACACGUGAGUAACCUGCCCUUGCCUUUGGGAUAACUUCCGGAAACUGGGGCUAAUAACGGAUAGGAGCUCCUGCUGCAUGGUGGGGGUUGGAAAGUUUCGGCGGUUGGGGAUGGACUCGCGGCUUAUCAGCUUGUUGGUGGGGUAGUGGCUUACCAAGGCUUUGACGGGUAGCCGGCCUGAGAGGGUGACGGGCCCCAGGACCACUGAGGUACGGCACAGACUCGAACGGGGAGCAGCGGUGGGAGAUAUUGCACUAGGGGCGGAAGACCGAUGCAGCGUCGCCGCGCGCGGGAUGACGGCCUACGGGUUGUAACCCGCUUUCGCCUUGCACUAAGCGUGGGUGACGGUAACGGGUAAAGAAGCUCCGGAUAACUACGUG